This is a non-coding RNA of Ceratotherium simum simum (southern white rhinoceros), 1289 nucleotides long. The record is from RefSeq and is a predicted model, not a curated record. NCBI's taxonomy places the organism in Eukaryota, Metazoa, Chordata, Mammalia, Perissodactyla, Rhinocerotidae.
AAAACAUUUUAUUUAUAAUAGAUCAACAUUUUUGACACGAAAGGUAGCCACUUUCAAUUUCUCAGGAAUGCCUAGAAUCCAACAGUUUCCAGAAUGACUAGUUAGUUAACAAUUAUUUCGCUGUAGGUAAAAGAAAUAAUUUCAGAAUGAACUUUUUAAAUGGCUUUGCCUAUGGCAACUUAUUUUAUAAGCUUGAAUGUGUAAUAAGCUAACUUUCUCAGGAAGUGAAUGUAAUCCAACUAUGUUCCACGUGUAUUAAACCAGUUUAUACAACAAACAUGGGAAUCACCUAUGUGCAUCAACUGUGCUCAAACAAGAAUUCUCUUUAUCAAAAUAGUCAUUUUUCAAAAAGGCCUCACAUUAACCCCUUAAACCAAUCACCCCUUCUAUGUCCAGUACCCACUCUUUUCUACUUCAAGUUGCAUUACUUUAUAGACAACUGUCAAACUCCAGUGGAACUGUACACUGACGUAAGACUCUAUGUAAUAUAUGUCAAACACAAGAAUAGUCACUGACUUUAAGGGACAAGGUGACCCUUGUCACCAAUAAUAAUAACCAAUAAUAAUUUAGCCAAUGUCAUUUUUAGUUCAGAGGGAAAAAAACUGCCCCCAAAUAUCCUUAACUUUUCUGUACUUCUCUGUAACACAAAGCAUGAAAAGAUAAUCUGAAAUUAAAAUCAUUAGAAAAUAUCUUAAAUAAAAUGUUUUAGGUAAAUACGUUAAUUUUCAGAUUCAAACCAUAUUUUCGUCUGUAUUUCAAUUUGGGAAAAAAUUUCACAAUUAUUAGCUCUUCCUACUUAGAUUUAUUUUUUAGUAUUUAAAUCCACUACAUGCCAGUUUGUAAAAUUCACCUUGGUUACCACUCCCCAUGCUUCUGUGCUGUCUUUCCUCAGGUAAGUCCAUUCUAUGCAUGUAAGUGCUGGGGAGGUUUAAAUAGCGCUUAAAGAAUAUUCAUGAGAGCUAUGAAAUGUUGAAAGUUGCAUUAUUAUCUACUUACUGUAGGAUUUUUAAUUCAAAUUCAUCACAGUAUUACAAAUACUGUGUGAAUGGAAUGCACACAAUUCCUACAGACACACAAACUGAAGUCCAAAAGGCACAGAGUAAUGCUGGUGGCUCUUUCUAGUCAGUUAAGAAACAAUAAAAAGUCUGCAUUAUUCUUUCAUAAUUUAAAUACUUAAGUAAUCUCCACUUUUAUUACUUUAUAACAAUGACUUCAAAUUUACAUUAUUUUAAGUACCAUUGUAAUAGCUUAGUGUAUCAUACAGAUAUUUGCUAAUAUCCCAUCCAAAA